AUCCAGCUGAUGAGUCGCAAAUACGACGAAACUAGCGUUGUGGAU
Molecule: non-coding RNA, 45 nt
Organism: Schistosoma margrebowiei
Lineage: Eukaryota; Metazoa; Platyhelminthes; Trematoda; Strigeidida; Schistosomatidae
Source: Rfam